This 254-nucleotide long non-coding RNA is filed under the name Elaeis guineensis (African oil palm). RNAcentral describes it as "long non-coding RNA (EGUI_LNC026980)". Lineage: Eukaryota; Viridiplantae; Streptophyta; Magnoliopsida; Arecales; Arecaceae. The record is from RNAcentral.
GGGUGACAUGUUCCAAAGAAUGCUACAAUUCUACAAGCUUGUUUGACGUAAUACAUAUUUUAUCAAAAUUGUGAGGGUCCAUAUGGACAUAUAUAUAAUUUCACAUCAAUUAUGUAUUAAAUAUAUUUUAAAUAUUUAUAUAAAAUCAAAAAAUCAAAUAAUAUCUUCUAAUUUAUCUUCUGGAUAAGAUCCUAAAUUAUUAUAAAUGAUACCAGAUCGAGUGGAUUUGGUCCAUGUAAACCAGAGGACCAUGC